RNAcentral lists this transfer RNA (71 nucleotides) under Anas platyrhynchos (mallard). Its description in RNAcentral is "tRNA-Ala". It matches the Rfam family "tRNA". From Rfam's summary of the family: Transfer RNA (tRNA) molecules are approximately 80 nucleotides in length. Their secondary structure includes four short double-helical elements and three loops (D, anti-codon, and T loops). Further hydrogen bonds mediate the characteristic L-shaped molecular structure. tRNAs have two regions of fundamental functional importance: the anti-codon, which is responsible for specific mRNA codon recognition, and the 3' end, to which the tRNAs corresponding amino acid is attached (by aminoacyl-tRNA synthetases). tRNAs cope with the degeneracy of the genetic code in two manners: having more than one tRNA (with a specific anti-codon) for a particular amino acid; and 'wobble' base-pairing, i.e. permitting non-standard base-pairing at the 3rd anti-codon position. Lineage: Eukaryota; Metazoa; Chordata; Aves; Anseriformes; Anatidae. The record is from RNAcentral.
UAAAGGCUUUAGCUUAAUUAAAGCGUCUGGUUUGCAUCCAGGAGAUACAGGUUAGUGUCCUGUUGGUCUUA